UGGGGAAUCUUGGACAAUGGGGGCAACCCUGAUCCAGCCAUGCCGCGUGAGUGAUGAAGGCCUUAGGGUCGUAAAGCUCUUUCGCCUGUGAAGAUAAUGACGGUAGCAGGUAAAGAAACCCCGGCUAACUCCGUGCCAGCAGCCGCGGUAAUACGGAGGGGGUUAGCGUUGUUCGGAAUUACUGGGCGUAAAGCGCACGUAGGCGGACCAGAAAGUUGGGGGUGAAAUCCCGGGGGCUCAACCCCGGAACUGCCUCCAAAACUAUUGGUCUAGAGUUCGAGAGAGGUGAGUGGAAUUCCAAGUGUAGAGGUGAAAUUCGUAGAUAUUUGGAGGAACACCAGUGGCGAAGGCGGCUCACUGGCUCGAUACUGACGCUGAGGUGCGAAAGUGUGGGGAGCAAACAGGAUUAGAUACCCUGGUAGUCCACACCGUAAAACGAUGAAUGCCAGUCGUCGGGUAGCAUGCUAUUCGGUGACACACCUAACGGAUUAAGCAUUCCGCCUGGGGAGUACGGUCGCAAGAUUAAAACCUCAAAUGAAUU
This 541-nucleotide ribosomal RNA is filed under the name uncultured bacterium. RNAcentral describes it as "bacterial SSU rRNA". It matches the Rfam family "Bacterial small subunit ribosomal RNA", at positions 355 to 911 of the family's 1533-position model. The record is from RNAcentral.